UAGGGAAUCUUCGGCAAUGGACGAAAGUCUGACCGAGCAACGCCGCGUGAGUGAAGAAGGUUUUCGGAUCGUAAAACUCUGUUGUUAGAGAAGAACAAGGACGUUAGUAACUGAACGUCCCCUGACGGUAUCUAACCAGAAAGCCACGGCUAACUACGUGCCAGCAGCCGCGGUGAUACGAAGGUGGCAAGCGUUGUCCGGAUGUAUUGGGCGUAAAGCGAGCGCAGGCGGUUUCUUAAGUCUGAUGUGAAAGCCCCCGGCUCAACCGGGGAGGGUCAUUGGAAACUGGGAGACUUGAGUGCAGAAGAGGAGAGUGGAAUUCCAUGUGUAGCGGUGAAAUGAGUAGAUAUAUGGAGGAACACCAGUGGCGAAGGCGGCUCUCUGGUCUGUAACUGACGCUGAGGCUCGAAAGCGUGGGGAGCAAACAGG
This 429-nucleotide ribosomal RNA is filed under the name Gemmatimonadota bacterium. RNAcentral describes it as "Gemmatimonadetes bacterium partial 16S ribosomal RNA". It matches the Rfam family "Bacterial small subunit ribosomal RNA", at positions 355 to 776 of the family's 1533-position model. Lineage: Bacteria; Pseudomonadati; Gemmatimonadota. The record is from RNAcentral.